GGCGAGUGGGCAUCUGGUACAUGUGUUUUCACUAAGUUGGUCAUGACUAGAUCCCACACUCGUCCGG
RNAcentral lists this microRNA precursor (67 nucleotides) under Triops cancriformis. Lineage: Eukaryota; Metazoa; Arthropoda; Branchiopoda; Notostraca; Triopsidae. The record is from RNAcentral.